Micropterus dolomieu (smallmouth bass) is the source of this 336-nucleotide long non-coding RNA. RefSeq lists it as uncharacterized. The transcript is spliced from 3 exons. The record is from RefSeq and is a predicted model, not a curated record. Lineage: Eukaryota; Metazoa; Chordata; Actinopteri; Centrarchiformes; Centrarchidae.
CUGCGCUCAUUUCUGCUGGCCAUUUGGUGGCCCUCCUGCACAAACCCCAAAGACCCUUCAGAGGCCUCAACAUACACGCUAGUAAGAGUAAGGCAAUGUUAGACAAGACUUUCACCAACAGCACAGUGAGCGUUCAACUGCCGGGAGAGUUGGAUGUUGGAUGGAACAACACGAUUGUGUUCUGCAUGAUUACUUCACCUGAAACCAAUUGGACCACAUGGGGAGCCUCAGAUCUGUAUGAGGGCAGACUGGUUGGACUGAGUGUGCGCGGCAAGAACAUUUCAGGACUACAGGAGCGCGUCAACAUCACCAUGACUCUUACUAUGGGCAUAAAUG